Molecule: unclassified non-coding RNA, 505 nt
Filed under: Homo sapiens (human)
Lineage: Eukaryota; Metazoa; Chordata; Mammalia; Primates; Hominidae
Description: kinesin family member 5C (ENSG00000276734.4)
Source: RNAcentral
GACUUAGCCUGUGGCAGAGGCAGCUGCACACAUGUGGGAGGGAUAUGAACUUCUGAGAAAAGAGAAAAUCCCAUGUUGUACCCGACUCUAAUAGGCCAGGAACGAGCUUUGCCAUUGGAAUGUGGCAGUCCUGCCUCUGCAGGUCAGCAAAACUGGUGCCGAGGGAGCUGUUCUUGACGAAGCUAAAAAUAUCAAUAAGUCUUUGUCUGCUCUUGGAAAUGUGAUCUCUGCUUUGGCAGAAGGGACAAAAACACAUGUGCCAUACCGGGACAGCAAGAUGACUCGGAUUCUUCAGGACUCUUUGGGUGGGAACUGCAGAACCACCAUCGUCAUUUGCUGUUCUCCUUCUGUCUUCAAUGAGGCUGAGACCAAGUCCACACUGAUGUUCGGACAGAGAGCUAAGACCAUCAAGAAUACAGUCUCUGUGAACCUAGAACUGACAGCAGAAGAAUGGAAGAAGAAAUAUGAAAAAGAGAAAGAGAAAAACAAGACUUUGAAGAAUGUU